This 1605-nucleotide ribosomal RNA is filed under the name Salmonella enterica subsp. enterica serovar Enteritidis. Its description in RNAcentral is "partial 23S ribosomal RNA". It matches the Rfam family "Bacterial large subunit ribosomal RNA", at positions 1214 to 2803 of the family's 2925-position model. The record is from RNAcentral. Lineage: Bacteria; Pseudomonadati; Pseudomonadota; Gammaproteobacteria; Enterobacterales; Enterobacteriaceae.
CUGUGUGUUGUUGGGUAGGGGAGCGUUCUGUAAGCCUGUGAAGGUGUGUCGUGAGGCAUGCUGGAGGUAUCAGAAGUGCGAAUGCUGACAUAAGUAACGAUAAAGCGGGUGAAAAGCCCGCUCGCCGGAAGACCAAGGGUUCCUGUCCAACGUUAAUCGGGGCAGGGUGAGUCGACCCCUAAGGCGAGGCCGAAAGGCGUAGUCGAUGGGAAACGGGUUAAUAUUCCCGUACUUGGUGUUACUGCGAAGGGGGGACGGAGAAGGCUAUGUUGGCCGGGCGACGGUUGUCCCGGUUUAAGCGUGUAGGCUGGUUUUCCAGGCAAAUCCGGAAAAUCAAGGCUGAGGCGUGAUGACGAGGCACUACGGUGCUGAAGCAACAAAUGCCCUGCUUCCAGGAAAAGCCUCUAAGCAUCAGGUAACAUCAAAUCGUACCCCAAACCGACACAGGUGGUCAGGUAGAGAAUACCAAGGCGCUUGAGAGAACUCGGGUGAAGGAACUAGGCAAAAUGGUGCCGUAACUUCGGGAGAAGGCACGCUGACACGUAGGUGAAGUGAUUUACUCAUGGAGCUGAAGUCAGUCGAAGAUACCAGCUGGCUGCAACUGUUUAUUAAAAACACAGCACUGUGCAAACACGAAAGUGGACGUAUACGGUGUGACGCCUGCCCGGUGCCGGAAGGUUAAUUGAUGGGGUCAGCGCAAGCGAAGCUCCUGAUCGAAGCCCCGGUAAACGGCGGCCGUAACUAUAACGGUCCUAAGGUAGCGAAAUUCCUUGUCGGGUAAGUUCCGACCUGCACGAAUGGCGUAAUGAUGGCCAGGCUGUCUCCACCCGAGACUCAGUGAAAUUGAACUCGCUGUGAAGAUGCAGUGUACCCGCGGCAAGACGGAAAGACCCCGUGAACCUUUACUAUAGCUUGACACUGAACAUUGAGCCUUGAUGUGUAGGAUAGGUGGGAGGCUUUGAAGUGUGGACGCCAGUCUGCAUGGAGCCGACCUUGAAAUACCACCCUUUAAUGUUUGAUGUUCUAACGUGGACCCGUUACCCGGGUUGCGGACAGUGUCUGGUGGGUAGUUUGACUGGGGCGGUCUCCUCCUAAAGAGUAACGGAGGAGCACGAAGGUUGGCUAAUCCUGGUCGGACAUCAGGAGGUUAGUGCAAUGGCAUAAGCCAGCUUGACUGCGAGCGUGACGGCGCGAGCAGGUGCGAAAGCAGGUCAUAGUGAUCCGGUGGUUCUGAAUGGAAGGGCCAUCGCUCAACGGAUAAAAGGUACUCCGGGGAUAACAGGCUGAUACCGCCCAAGAGUUCAUAUCGACGGCGGUGUUUGGCACCUCGAUGUCGGCUCAUCACAUCCUGGGGCUGAAGUAGGUCCCAAGGGUAUGGCUGUUCGCCAUUUAAAGUGGUACGCGAGCUGGGUUUAGAACGUCGUGAGACAGUUCGGUCCCUAUCUGCCGUGGGCGCUGGAGAACUGAGGGGGGCUGCUCCUAGUACGAGAGGACCGGAGUGGACGCAUCACUGGUGUUCGGGUUGUCAUGCCAAUGGCACUGCCCGGUAGCUAAAUGCGGAAGAGAUAAGUGCUGAAAGCAUCUAAGCACGAAACUUGCCCCGAG